This 379-nucleotide ribosomal RNA is filed under the name Enterobacter sp. BPS12. Its description in RNAcentral is "bacterial SSU rRNA". The stretch from base 27 to 310 matches the Rfam family "Bacterial small subunit ribosomal RNA", at positions 53 to 355 of the family's 1533-position model. The record is from RNAcentral. Lineage: Bacteria; Pseudomonadati; Pseudomonadota; Gammaproteobacteria; Enterobacterales; Enterobacteriaceae.
AGUUCGGAACGGUGAACAGGAAUGCAGCUUGCUAGCUUCGCUGACGAGUGGCGGACGGGUGAGUAAUGUGCUGGGAAACUGCCUGAUGGAGGGGGAUGAACUACUGGAAACGGUAGCUAAUACCGCAUGAACGUCGCAAGACCAAAGAGGGGGACCUUCGGGCCUCUUGCCAUCGGAUGUGCCCAGAUGGGAUUAGCUAGUAGGUGGGGUAACGGCUCACCUAGGCGACGAUCCUCUAGCUGGUCUGAGAGGAUGACCAGCCACACUGGCAACUGAGACACGGUCCAGACUCCUACGGGCAUGCAGCAGUACGGACCGGGGGCGUACGUGCUGAGCNUAGGGCGGGGCACACACGCCGGGGGCCCACGCGCGGAGCGCG